Molecule: long non-coding RNA, 217 nt
Filed under: Elaeis guineensis (African oil palm)
Lineage: Eukaryota; Viridiplantae; Streptophyta; Magnoliopsida; Arecales; Arecaceae
Description: long non-coding RNA (EGUI_LNC028273)
Source: RNAcentral
AUACCUUAGCUCUUCUGAUGCCCUACUUGGAUAAGAACAAAGUGGUUUUGGUUUGAAUUCAAAAUAGUUUGAAUUCGAAUUAAUUUAAACCACUUAUCCUUAUCCAAUCUCUUCUCCACGCCCAUCUUAAAUUCCUCUCAUUUUUGUGCGACAAAGAAGUUGGUUUUUAUCAUGGAAAAAUCCUUCUAAGAAAGAGGGGCAUGAAAUAGAGAGGGGG